AGUGAACGCUGGCGGUAGGCCUAACACAUGCAAGUCGAACGGCGGCACAGUAAGAGCUUGCUCUUACGGGUGGCGAGUGGCGGACGGGUGAGGAAUACAUCGGAAUCUACUUUUUCGUGGGGGAUAACGUAGGGAAACUUACGCUAAUACCGCAUACGACCUACGGGUGAAAGCAGGGGAUCUUCGGACCUUGCGCGAUUGAAUGAGCCGAUGUCGGAUUAGCUAGUUGGCGGGGUAAAGGCCCACCAAGGCGACGAUCCGUAGCUGGUCUGAGAGGAUGAUCAGCAACACUGAAACUGAGACACGGCCAGGCCCCCUACGGGAGGCAGAAGUGGGGAAUAUUGAACAAUGGGCGCAAGCCUGAUCCAGCCAUACCGCGUGGGUGAAGAAGGCCUUCGGGUUGUAAAGCCCUUUUGUUGGGAAAGAAAAGCAGCAGGUUAAUACCCCGCUGUUCUGACGGUACCAAAAGAAUAAGCACCGGCUAACUUCGU
RNAcentral lists this ribosomal RNA (491 nucleotides) under uncultured bacterium. Its description in RNAcentral is "partial 16S ribosomal RNA". It matches the Rfam family "Bacterial small subunit ribosomal RNA", at positions 29 to 506 of the family's 1533-position model. The record is from RNAcentral.